UUGAACGCUGGCGGCAUGCUUUACACAUGCAAGUCGAACGGUAGACCCUUUCGGGGGUUGAGAGUGGCGAACGGGUGAGUAAUGCAUCGGAACAUACCCAGUCGUGGGGGAUAACGUAGCGAAAGUUAUGCUAAUACCGCAUGAGUCCUGAGGGAGAAAGCGGGGGAUCGCAAGACCUCGCGCGAUUGGAGUGGCCGAUGUCAGAUUAGCUAGUUGGUGAGGUAAAGGCUCACCAAGGCGACGAUCCGUAGCUGGUCUGAGAGGACGACCAGCCACACUGGAACUGAGACACGGUCCAGACUCCUACGGGAGGCAGCAGUGGGGAAUUUUGGACAAUGGGGGCAACCCUGAUCCAGCCAUUCCGCGUGAGUGAAGAAGGCCUUCGGGUUGUAAAACUCUUUCGGCAGGAACGAAACGGUGAGCUCUAACAUAGCUUGCUAAUGACGGUACCUGAAGAAGAAGCACCGGCUAACUACGU
This 478-nucleotide ribosomal RNA is filed under the name uncultured bacterium. Its description in RNAcentral is "bacterial SSU rRNA". It matches the Rfam family "Bacterial small subunit ribosomal RNA", at positions 30 to 506 of the family's 1533-position model. The record is from RNAcentral.